This is a long non-coding RNA of Dreissena polymorpha, 107 nucleotides long. RefSeq lists it as uncharacterized. Lineage: Eukaryota; Metazoa; Mollusca; Bivalvia; Myida; Dreissenidae. The record is from RefSeq and is a predicted model, not a curated record. The transcript is spliced from 3 exons.
GAGCCCUUACCAUUUCCUGUGAACUAGGUGACACUUGCCUGGUGUGAGAUCCUGAGCCCUUACCAUUCCCUGUGAACUAGGUGACACUUGCCUGGUGUGAGAUCCUC